GUCACUGACUGUUCAAGGUUCCUGGUCUGCACUCUGGCAGGUUCAAUUCCUUCAGGGAAGGGGGACCAAUCUAUCUCUGAAUAGUUACUACAGAAGUCCCACUGCACCUCUUUGACUUGAUCAGGCCUCAAGCCCAAUCCUGUAGGAGGAUGGAAAGUCACAGAUUUGAAACAUGGAGGGAAUUUGACACAUCAUUGCUGGCCUGAGGAUGGAGGAAGAACAAGCCAAGAAACAUGGACAUCGUGAGGAAUUGAGAAUAGUGCCUUGGUGACAAGUAGCAAGGAAAUGAGGACCUCAGGCCCACAACUGCAAGGAAAUGCAUUUGAUCAACAACCUGAAUGAAUGUGGAGGCACAUUCUUCCCUAGAGCUUCCAGAUAGGAAGUUAGCUGGCCAACCCCUUCAUUGUGAUCUUGUGGAAAUAUAAAGGGAGAAUCCAGCUGAACCCUCCAGGACUUCUAACCUACAGAAUUGUGGGAUAAAUGUAGGUGCUGUUUUAAGCUGCUAAAUUGUGGUAAUUUGUUAUAGCAUCAAAAAAAAAAAAAA
This is a long non-coding RNA of Condylura cristata (star-nosed mole), 544 nucleotides long. RefSeq lists it as uncharacterized. The transcript is spliced from 2 exons. Lineage: Eukaryota; Metazoa; Chordata; Mammalia; Eulipotyphla; Talpidae. The record is from RefSeq and is a predicted model, not a curated record.